GAUGAACGCUGGCGGCGUGCCUAAUACAUGCAAGUCGAGCGAACAGAUGAGGAGCUUGCUCCUCUGACGUUAGCGGCGGACGGGUGAGUAACACGUGGAUAACCUACCUAUAAGACUGGGAUAACUUCGGGAAACCGGAGCUAAUACCGUAUAAUAUAUUGAACCGCAUGGUUCAAUAGUGAAAGACGGUUUUGCUGUCACUUAUAGAUGGAUCCGCGCCGCAUUAGCUAGUUGGUAAGGUAACGGCUUACCAAGGCAACGAUGCGUAGCCGACCUGAGAGGGUGAUCGGCCACACUGGAACUGAGACACGGUCAAGACUCCUCCGGGAGGCAGCAGUAGGGAAUCUUCCGCAAUGGGCGAAAGCCUGACGGAGCAACGCCGCGUGAGUGAUGAAGGUCUUCGGAUCGUAAAACUCUGUUAUUAGGGAAGAACAAAUGUGUAAGUACCUAUGCACGUCUUGACGGUACCUAAUCAGAAAGCCACGGCUAACUACGUG
This 497-nucleotide ribosomal RNA is filed under the name uncultured bacterium. RNAcentral describes it as "partial 16S ribosomal RNA". It matches the Rfam family "Bacterial small subunit ribosomal RNA", at positions 28 to 507 of the family's 1533-position model. The record is from RNAcentral.